Molecule: long non-coding RNA, 378 nt
Organism: Saccostrea cuccullata (small rock oyster)
Lineage: Eukaryota; Metazoa; Mollusca; Bivalvia; Ostreida; Ostreidae
Exons: 4
Source: RefSeq, a predicted model, not a curated record
UAAUAUUAAGAAGAAUAGGAAACAGAAAUGGAAAAAAGCUGACAAGAAGAAAGGGGACAUAUUUCCAACAAUAAAUCUAGACAGUUACUCUGUACAUCCAGUAGCUGUAGAAGAAGAGCAAGAAUUGACAAGUGAUUCUGAUCUGGAAUUAUUAGAUGACAAGGAACCAGAUGAGAGUGAUUCUGAAGAGGAGGGUCACUCCAAAGAAGUCUGUACAGAACCACUGUAUGUCCUCCCUUUGUUUUCAUUGUUGUCCACUGAAAAACAGGUCAAGGUGUUUGAACGACCACCAGAAGGUUAUAGGCUGUGUGUUGUAGCCACUAAUGUGGCAGAGACAUCGCUGACUAUUCCCAACAUCAAAUAUGUUGUUGACACAGG